This 60-nucleotide transfer RNA is filed under the name Trinorchestia longiramus. RNAcentral's name for it is "tRNA-Asp". Lineage: Eukaryota; Metazoa; Arthropoda; Malacostraca; Amphipoda; Talitridae. The record is from RNAcentral.
AAAACACUAGUUAAAAAAUAACAUUAGCUUGUCAAACUAGAAUUACACUUGUGUGUUUUA